This 253-nucleotide ribosomal RNA is filed under the name uncultured bacterium. RNAcentral's name for it is "partial 16S ribosomal RNA". It matches the Rfam family "Bacterial small subunit ribosomal RNA", at positions 524 to 776 of the family's 1533-position model. The record is from RNAcentral.
UACAGAGGUCUCAAGCGUUGUUCGGAUUUACUGGGCGUAAAGCGCACGUAGGCGGAUUGUUAAGUCAGAGGUGAAAUCCCGGAGCUCAACUUCGGAACUGCCUUUGAUACUGGCAAUCUAGAGUCCGGAAGAGGUUAGUGGAAUUCCCAGUGUAGAGGUGAAAUUCGUAGAUAGUGGGAAGAACACCAGUGGCGAAGGCGGCUAACUGGUCCGGUACUGACGCUGAGGUGCGAAAGCGUGGGGAGCAAACAGG